RNAcentral lists this ribosomal RNA (466 nucleotides) under uncultured microorganism. RNAcentral describes it as "bacterial SSU rRNA". It matches the Rfam family "Bacterial small subunit ribosomal RNA", at positions 9 to 521 of the family's 1533-position model. The record is from RNAcentral.
GAGUUUGAUCCUGGCUCAGAAUGAACGCUGGCGGCAUGCCUAACACAUGCAAGUCGAACGAAGGCUUCGGCCUUAGUGGCGCACGGGUGCGUAACGCGUGGGAAUCUGCCCUUGGGUUCGGAAUAACAGUUAGAAAUGACUGCUAAUACCGGACGAUGUCGUAAGACCAAAGAUUUAUCGCCCAAGGAUGAGCCCGCGUAGGAUUAGCUAGUUGGUGGGGUAAAGGCCCACCAAGGCAACGAUCCUUAGCUGGUCUGAGAGGAUGAUCAGCCACACUGGGACUGAGACACGGCCCAGACUCCUACGGGAGGCAGCAGUGGGGAAUAUUGGACAAUGGGCGAAAGCCUGAUCCAGCAAUGCCGCGUGAGUGAUGAAGGCCUUAGGGUUGUAAAGCUCUUUUACCCGGGAUGAUAAUGACAGUACCGGGAGAAUAAGCUCCGGCUAACUUCGUGCCAGCAGCCGCGGU